UUACAAAACUAUAAAGAUGUAGGCCUCAAAUGAACAGUGCAAUAAUAUUACAUUUCUAAUUAUUUUAACACAAAACGCACACAAAACGACGUCGUUUAAUCGGAAAAAAAUCCAAAUUAAGCGUAGACGCCUUUUCUUUUCCAAUUUCUUUUGCUGCUCAAAUUUAUGGUCCGCCCAUAUCCGUGGGCCCUUCUCUUAAUAUUUCCAGUAUUUUCCAUUUUUCUUUAACAAACUCACGCGAGUUGUGUUCAUUUACACGCGCUUGCUUUCGGCGGUUGUCAGUCUGCUUCUGCGUUCUCUCGCUUGUCAAUCCCACCUUGACGUUUGUAGCUUCCGGUGUAGCCUGUGGGACGUGGGUUUACACAAUCUUUAUCGUCUCAUUUCUCUUUCCAAUUUUACAUUCUCCGGAGGCCAUUUCAGUACCCAACUAAAGGAAAACCCUAAAAAUUGCACUCUCAAAGCAAACCGCCCGCAAAUCAUCAGUCAUUCGAUGUAUUUUUUGCACAUCCGAUGGAGGUUUUCAAUCCCCAUCUCUGUUUCGUGAGUACAACAACAACAAAAUAGGGGUUUUCUAACCUUUUUACGCCGAUGCCGAAAACUGCCGAGGUUGGAGUCGACCGGAGCUCGUGAAUGGGAAUUAGGAUUCUCAGCCAUUAGGUUCUUCGUUUCCUCCAAAUUAAAGCUGAGAAUAGGAAUCCUAAAUUUUUUAGAAGACCCAUUCUGCAGGGAAUAAGUGCAGAAUAGGAAGCUUUAAUUUGACCAGCCAUUUUACAUUCUUUCUCCAUAAAGAUGUUGUUCUUCUCGCUUCUCAGGGGAUGAUGGCACCAUUAAUGGGCAUGGUGAAUCCUGGUUGAAGAAAUUCCAAAAGGGAGAUUCACAGUUAACUAGACUUUAUUUAAUUGAAAUAAUGUACUCUGUAAAUGUCCAAAUAUCAAAUUUUUUUUUUUUUUGAGAUGAAACCAAAUAUCAAAUUUAACACUUGUUAAUUCACCAUCAUGGAAUGUUCAUCCUGUACUAUGUGUCUUUGUAAUUACUAUGCUUAUAGGUUUGGAUUGUUUAUUGAUAAUUAUGUUUUUGUUUAUAAGAGUUGGUUCCAUGGAGCACUU
This is a non-coding RNA of Erythranthe guttata (spotted monkey flower), 1106 nucleotides long. The record is from RefSeq and is a predicted model, not a curated record. NCBI's taxonomy places the organism in Eukaryota, Viridiplantae, Streptophyta, Magnoliopsida, Lamiales, Phrymaceae.